AGUGGGAUAGCUGGGUCAAAUGAUAGUUCCAUUCCAACUUUUUCAAGGAAUCUCCAUACUGCUUUCCAGAUUGGCUGCCCCAAUUUGCAUUCCCACCAGGAAU
This 103-nucleotide microRNA precursor is filed under the name Marmota monax (woodchuck). The record is from RNAcentral. Lineage: Eukaryota; Metazoa; Chordata; Mammalia; Rodentia; Sciuridae.